Molecule: long non-coding RNA, 1383 nt
Organism: Nelumbo nucifera (sacred lotus)
Lineage: Eukaryota; Viridiplantae; Streptophyta; Magnoliopsida; Proteales; Nelumbonaceae
Source: RefSeq, a predicted model, not a curated record
GAUCUCUUCCCUGUCUCCUACUAACUCUUUAAGUUUUCAGAAGAAAGAUGAAUCGAGUUAGAGUGAGGAGUAGGAUUUGGGGAAUCGAGUUCGAGUUUGAAAUUUACAGGAGGUGAAAGGGCUAGCUCUAGGACUUGAACUUGUUGCUCCACGUCUUGUUCACCCUCUUUGUAGGAAGAAGAGCACAUCUGAAUCGUCUUAUCACAUUUGCAAUGUUGGUGUCUUUUCCUUCCCGUUUUCAGUCUUUCAUUUCAAGUUCGAACCUGAAGCUUCGCCAUUGAUGAUCUCUCCAUUGGCUCUGAAAUCACCGUUGUUGGAUCAAAUUCCUCAGGUAAAGGCUCAACCUUUCCAUUAAAUUUAUCAGACAUCACAUCAACUUCGAUACUCCCAACCAUGAUUCCUCCGUCUAAGGAAAAAAACCUAGAAAACUUAUAGAAGUCUCUACAUCUGCUCCUUCACCGCCUCCUCAAGGUCCGCAACUCAAAUUCAACAAAUGGUCAAAACAAGGAUUUGCUCAUCUCCGAGAAAACAGUUAUUCAAUGGAAGCAUCCAUAGUUUUCACUCAGUUUUCAACUGCCAUUGCUGAGACUUUCCAAUCUCCCUCAUUGGUUAUUCUUGGAAGAUCUCGGAUCAGAGGAUUCUUAGGACAGAGCUUCAAUUGAUGCGGUGAUUAAGCAUCUUAGCUCCCCUGAUUUGAGAGUUGGUUGGGGUAUUCAUGUUGUGCAGGAGGUAAAAUUGUUGGCCAAGAAGGGAGAUCGAGUGAAUCUAGAUGUUGCCAUCAACGAGCUCGUUGGUCUUGGCUUGCAAAGGUAUUCCAUAACCUUCUUUUAAAAAAGAACAUGGUUUUGCCUUUGGCAAGAAAAACUGGGAAGUUGGUCCUUUAGCUGAACUGCUACACCUCAUUCAGGGUAUAAAGCCUAACCCCCAAAUGGCAGAUGAAGGAAUUUGGUCAUUGGAAACUUCAGGCAAGUUCUCUGUUAAAUUCUUCUAUGGAAAUAUCUCUCAAUUGCACGACAGGCAAAUUAUUGCUUUCCCUUGGACCAGAAUCUGGUGUUUCCACAUACCUCCAAAGAUUGGCUUUCUUGUAUGGACAGCAGCCCAUGGUAGAUGGAGGCCUGCCUAUGUUUCUUAUGUAAAGAGGUUCCUUAAUCCAUGGAUCACCUCUUCAUUCACUGCAAGUUUUCAUGUCAGUUGUAGGUUAUGGGCCUUAUGGCACUAUCCUGCUUUGGUAUUCAUCUAUGCUUUCCGAAUACAGUCUUACAAUUGCCGCAAGAUUGAACAAUUAAUGUUUUGAACAGGAGUAAACUUUUAUGUAACAGCUUCCCGGCUGCUAUCAUCUGGGCAAUUUGAAAGGAAAGGAACCAUCGCAUUUUUUAUAAUAAA